RNAcentral lists this ribosomal RNA (397 nucleotides) under uncultured bacterium. RNAcentral describes it as "partial 16S ribosomal RNA". It matches the Rfam family "Bacterial small subunit ribosomal RNA", at positions 523 to 918 of the family's 1533-position model. The record is from RNAcentral.
AUACGUAGGGGGCGAGCGUUGUCCGGAAUGAUUGGGCGUAAAGGGCGCGUAGGCGGCGCGGUAAGUCUGGAGUGAAAGUCCUGCUUUCAAGGUGGGAAUUGCUUUGGAUACUGCCGCGCUUGAGUGCAGGAGAGGUUAUCGGAACUCCCGGUGUAGCGGUGAAAUGCGUAGAGAUCGGGAGGAACACCAGUGGCGAAGGCGGGUAACUGGACUGCAACUGACGCUGAGGCGCGAAAGUGUGGGGAGCAAACAGGAUUAGAUACCCUGGUAGUCCACACUGUAAACGAGGAAUGCUAGGUGUAAGAGGUAUCGACCCCUUGUGUGCCGGAGUCAACACAAUAAGCAUUCCGCCUGGGGAGUACGGCCGCAAGGUUGAAACUCAAAUGAAUUGACGGGG